Molecule: non-coding RNA, 111 nt
Organism: Polychaeton citri CBS 116435
Lineage: Eukaryota; Fungi; Ascomycota; Dothideomycetes; Capnodiales; Capnodiaceae
Source: the annotation of a GenBank genome assembly
GGUUUCGUGGUGUAGUUGGUUAUCACGUGAGUCUAACAAGUCCAGUCUCAGAUUCAAACUGAGAUUCCGGCGGAGCACUCAAGGUCUCCGGUUCGAGCCCGGACGAAAUCA